CAGCAGCCGCGGGAAUACGUAGGGCGCAAGCGUUAUCCGGAAUUAUUGGGCGUAAAGAGCUCGUAGGCGGUUUGUCGCGUCUGCCGUGAAAGUCCGGGACUCAACCCCGGAUCUGCGGUGGGUACGGGCAGACUAGAGUGAUGUAGGGGAGACUGGAAUUCCUGGUGUAGCGGUGAAAUGCGCAGAUAUCAGGAGGAACACCGAUGGCGAAGGCAGGUCUCUGGGCAUUAACUGACGCUGAGGAGCGAAAGCAUGGGGAGCGAACAGGAUUAGAUACCCCCGUAGUCCCUGUCUCUUAUAC
This 301-nucleotide ribosomal RNA is filed under the name uncultured bacterium. Its description in RNAcentral is "partial 16S ribosomal RNA". It matches the Rfam family "Bacterial small subunit ribosomal RNA", at positions 509 to 807 of the family's 1533-position model. The record is from RNAcentral.